CCGGGGGCUCUCGGGCGGCGGGCAGGGGAAGGCGAGGGUCGGGCCUUCCUGAGCGCGGCUGCCGCGGCUCCAGCACCCGGCGGGCGGGCAGCUUCUCCUCGGCCUCCAGCCCCGGCCCCGCCGCCUCCGGGCUGCGGGCGAGCUCCCCCGGCGGCGGCGGCGGCUCGGCCUGAGGAGAGGACUGCUGGCCGUCGGCCUCGCCGUCAGGCACCGAGGCUUCAGUGGCCGUGACCGGGAGGGGAUCCGUGCCGGCCUCGCUGCGGGGACGGGCUCCAUCUCCGGCUCAGCCUCCCCGGGGGACGCAGCAGGCGCUGCCGCCAUUUCUUCCUGGCUUCUUCCUCCUCCUGGUCCUCUCCUACUUUACUUUAUAGGCCACUGUUAAGAUUACUGAACAAGACAAAUUUGUUUCAGGUAUAGCGAGUGAACCAAAACAGGAUGGUGCUGGGAUCGCAGAUGGGGGUCGCCUCGCUGCUGUGAAGAAGGCAGUGAGAGAGAGGAUGCAGCAGGGAGAGCAGGCUGAGGGCCGAAGGAAGUUGGUCAUAUAACCUUUGACGCUGGAUAUUUUAGAAUCGAAAGUCCCGUUAAAUCGUUCUCAGUCACGCCCAGGGUGCAGUGAUCCCUUCAUGCAGGUGGAGGAGAGGUGACAGGAGCACACCAGACACUCUUCCUUUGGUGGGGGCUUAAUUGCCUUUUCACCUC
Molecule: long non-coding RNA, 699 nt
Organism: Equus quagga
Lineage: Eukaryota; Metazoa; Chordata; Mammalia; Perissodactyla; Equidae
Exons: 3
Source: RefSeq, a predicted model, not a curated record